RNAcentral lists this unclassified non-coding RNA (378 nucleotides) under uncultured bacterium. RNAcentral's name for it is "contains 16S-23S intergenic spacer region". The record is from RNAcentral.
UCCAGCUCUUCGCCGGCAGUUCCCUAAGAGUGCCCGGCCGAACCGAUGGCAACAUAGGAUAAGGGUCGCGCUCGUUGCGGGACUUAACCCAACAUCUCACGACACGAGCUGACGACAACCAUGCAGCACCUCUACCGGCUCCCUUGCGGGUCAUUCCUGUUUCCAGGUUUUACCACCGGCUCUUCAAGCCCAGGUAAGGUUUUUCGCGUUGCGUCGAAUUAAACCACAUACUCCACCGCUUGUGCGGGUCCCCGUCAAUUCCUUUGAGUUUUAACCUUGCGGCCGUACUCCCCAGGCGGUCGACUUCACGCGUUAGCUUCGUUACUGAGAGUGUCAAACCCCCAACAACCAGUCGACAUCGUUUAGGGCGUGGACUAC